AGAGUUUGAUCCUGGCUCAGGACGAACGCUGGCGGCGUGCCUAAUACAUGCAAGUCGAGCGGACCGAUGGGAGCUUGCUCCCUUAGGUCAGCGGCGGACGGGUGAGUAACACGUGGGUAACCUGCCUGUAAGACUGGGAUAACUCCGGGAAACCGGGGCUAAUACCGGAUGCUUGAUUGAACCGCAUGGUUCAAUCAUAAAAGGUGGCUUUUAGCUACCACUUACAGAUGGACCCGCGGCGCAUUAGCUAGUUGGUGAGGUAACGGCUCACCAAGGCGACGAUGCGUAGCCGACCUGAGAG
RNAcentral lists this ribosomal RNA (301 nucleotides) under Bacillus licheniformis. RNAcentral describes it as "bacterial SSU rRNA". It matches the Rfam family "Bacterial small subunit ribosomal RNA", at positions 8 to 298 of the family's 1533-position model. Lineage: Bacteria; Bacillati; Bacillota; Bacilli; Caryophanales; Bacillaceae. The record is from RNAcentral.